CUUAACACAUGACGAAGUCGGAGGGCAGCGAGAAGGAAGUCUGUCUUUCUUGGUCGGCGACCGGCGCGACGGGUGAGUAACGCGUAUCCAACUUUCCCUAUAGUAGGGGAUAGCCCGUAGAAAUGCGGAUUAAUACCCUAUGUUGUAUUUUGAGGACAUCUGACGAAUACCAAAGGUUCACCGCUAUAGGAUGGGGAUGCGUCUGAUUAGGUAGUCGGCGGGGUAACGGCCCACCGAGCCAACGAUCAGUAGGGGUUCUGAGAGGAAGGUCCCCCACAUUGGAACUGAGACACGGUCCAAACUCCUACGGGAGGCAGCAGUGAGGAAUAUUGGUCAAUGGGCGAGAGCCUGAACCAGCCAAGUAGCGUGCAGGAUGACGGCCCUAUGGGUUGUAAACUGCUUUUAUGCGGGGAUAAAGUGAGGGACGUGUCCCUUAUUGUAGGUACCGCAUGAAUAAGGACCGGCUAAUUCCGUGCCAGCCGCAGC
RNAcentral lists this ribosomal RNA (486 nucleotides) under uncultured bacterium. RNAcentral's name for it is "bacterial SSU rRNA". It matches the Rfam family "Bacterial small subunit ribosomal RNA", at positions 47 to 518 of the family's 1533-position model. The record is from RNAcentral.